This 107-nucleotide small nuclear RNA is filed under the name Procavia capensis (Cape rock hyrax). Lineage: Eukaryota; Metazoa; Chordata; Mammalia; Hyracoidea; Procaviidae. The record is from RNAcentral.
GUGCUCACUUCGGCAGCACAUAUACUAAAAUUGGAACCAUACAGAGAAGAUUAGCAUGGCCCCCGCGCAAGGACGAUAGGUAAAUUCGUGAAGCGUUACGUAUUUUU